CUGAAGACUUUGCCGGAUUAGCUGAGAGGUGGUGCAUGGCCGUCGUCAGUUCGUACUGUGAAGCAUCCUGUUAAGUCAGGCAACGAGCGAGACCCACGCCCACAGUUGCCAGCGUACUCUCUGGAGUGACGGGUACACUGUGGGGACCGCCGCUGCUAAAGCGGAGGAAGGAAUGGGCAACGGUAGGUCAGUAUGCCCCGAAUAUCCCGGGCUACACGCGAGCUACAAUGGUUGGUACAAUGGGUAUCUACCCCGAAAGGGGACGGGAAUCUCCUAAAACCAAUCUUAGUUCGGAUUGAGGGCUGCAACUCGCCCUCAUGAAGCUGGAAUCCGUAGUAAUCGCGUUUCAACAGAACGCGGUGAAUACGUCCCUGCUCUUU
This 380-nucleotide ribosomal RNA is filed under the name uncultured Methanosaeta sp. Its description in RNAcentral is "bacterial SSU rRNA". It matches the Rfam family "Archaeal small subunit ribosomal RNA", at positions 959 to 1338 of the family's 1478-position model. Lineage: Archaea; Methanobacteriati; Methanobacteriota; Methanomicrobia; Methanotrichales; Methanotrichaceae. The record is from RNAcentral.